GAAAGAUGGUUUUGCUAUCACUUAUAGAUGGACCCGCGCCGUAUUAGCUAGUUGGUAAGGUAACGGCUUACCAAGGCGACGAUACGUAGCCGACCUGAGAGGGUGAUCGGCCACACUGGAACUGAGACACGGUCCAGACUCCUACGGGAGGCAGCAGUAGGGAAUCUUCCGCAAUGGGCGAAAGCCUGACGGAGCAACGCCGCGUGAGUGAUGAAGGGUUUCGGCUCGUAAAACUCUGUUAUUAGGGAAGAACAAAUGUGUAAGUAACUGUGCACGUCUUGACGGUACCUAAUCAGAAAGCCACGGCUAACUACGUGCCAGCAGCCGCGGUAAUACGUAGGUGGCAAGCGUUAUCCGGAAUUAUUGGGCGUAAAGCGCGCGUAGGCGGUUUCUUAAGUCUGAUGUGAAAGCCCACGGCUCAACCGUGGAGGGUCAUUGGAAACUGGGAAACUUGAGUGCAGAAGAGGAAAGUGGAAUUCCAUGUGUAGCGGUGAAAUGCGCAGAGAUAUGGAGGAACACCAGUGGCGAAGGCGACUUUCUGGUCUGUAACUGGCGCUGAUGUGCGAAAGCGUGGGGAUCAAACAGGAUUAGAUACCCUGGUAGUCCACGCCGUAAACGAUGAGUGCUAAGUGUUAGGGGGUUUCCGCCCCUUA
Molecule: ribosomal RNA, 653 nt
Filed under: uncultured bacterium
Lineage: Bacteria
Description: bacterial SSU rRNA
Rfam family: Bacterial small subunit ribosomal RNA
Source: RNAcentral